UUGCUUUGGCAUCACAUAUACUAAAAUUGGAACUAUAUAAGUUAGUAUGGCCCCUAUGUAAGGACAACACAAACUUGUGAAGUGUUCCAUACUUAA
Molecule: small nuclear RNA, 96 nt
Organism: Ictidomys tridecemlineatus (thirteen-lined ground squirrel)
Lineage: Eukaryota; Metazoa; Chordata; Mammalia; Rodentia; Sciuridae
Source: Ensembl